UUUGAUCCUGGCUCAGAGUGAACGCUGGCGGCAGGCCUAAUACAUGCAAGUCGAACGGCAGCACAGCAGAGCUUGCUCUGUGGGUGGCGAGUGGCGGACGGGUGAGGAAUACAUAGGAAUCUGCCCAGUCGUGGGGGAUAAAGUAGGGAAACUUACGCUAAUACCGCAUGCGCCCUUUGGGGGAAAGCCGGGGACCUUCGGGCCUGGCGCGAUUGGAUGAGCCUAUGUCUGAUUAGCUAGUUGGAGGGGUAAAAGCCCACCAAGGCGACGAUCAGUAGCUGGUCUGAGAGGAUGAUCAGCCACACUGGGACUGAGACACGGUCCAGACUCCUACGGGAGGCAGCAGUAGGGAAUAUUGGACAAUGGGGGCAAGCCUGAUCCAGCCAUGCCG
RNAcentral lists this ribosomal RNA (391 nucleotides) under uncultured Thermomonas sp. RNAcentral describes it as "bacterial SSU rRNA". It matches the Rfam family "Bacterial small subunit ribosomal RNA", at positions 12 to 399 of the family's 1533-position model. The record is from RNAcentral. Lineage: Bacteria; Pseudomonadati; Pseudomonadota; Gammaproteobacteria; Lysobacterales; Lysobacteraceae.